UGGGGAAUAUUGCGCAAUGGGGGAAACCCUGACGCAGCAACGCCGCGUGAAGGAUGAAGGUUUUCGGAUUGUAAACUUCUUUAGUCGGGGACGAACAAAUGACGGUACCCGAAGAAUAAGCCACGGCUAACUACGUGCCAGCAGCCGCGGUAAUACGUAGGUGGCAAGCGUUGUCCGGAAUUACUGGGUGUAAAGGGCGUGUAGGCGGGAUCUUAAGUCAGAUGUGAAAUUCCAGGGCUCAACCCUGGCGCUGCAUCUGAAACUGAGGUUCUUGAGUGCUGGAGAGGAAAGCGGAAUUCCUAGUGUAGCGGUGAAAUGCGUAGAUAUUAGGAGGAACACCAGUGGCGAAGGCGGCUUUCUGGACAGUAACUGACGCUGAGGCGCGAAAGCGUGGGGAGCAAACAGG
RNAcentral lists this ribosomal RNA (406 nucleotides) under uncultured prokaryote. Its description in RNAcentral is "bacterial SSU rRNA". It matches the Rfam family "Bacterial small subunit ribosomal RNA", at positions 355 to 776 of the family's 1533-position model. The record is from RNAcentral. RNAcentral also lists the same sequence under 1 other name.